CAAAGGCAUGGUCCUGACCUUAUUAUCAGCUCUAGCCCAACUUACACAUGCAAGUAUCCGCACCCCCGUGAGUAUGCCCUCGACCCCCCGCCCGGGGGUCAGGAGCGAGCAUCAGGCACACAUCAUUAUAGCCCAAGACGCCCAGCCAAGCCACACCCCCAAGGGAAUUCAGCAGUGAUAAAUAUUAAGCCAUAAGUGAAAGCUCGACUCAGUCAGGGCUAAUAGGGCCGGUAAAACUCGUGCCAGCUACCGCGGUUAUACGAGGAGGCCCCAGUAA
Molecule: ribosomal RNA, 277 nt
Filed under: Tanakia limbata (oily bitterling)
Lineage: Eukaryota; Metazoa; Chordata; Actinopteri; Cypriniformes; Acheilognathidae
Description: partial 12S rRNA
Source: RNAcentral